GAUGAACGCUGGCGGCGUGCCUAAUACAUGCAAGUCGAGCGAACAGACGAGGAGCUUGCUCCUCUGACGUUAGCGGCGGACGGGUGAGUAACACGUGGAUAACCUACCUAUAAGACUGGGAUAACUUCGGGAACCCGAGGCUAAUACCGGAUAAUAUAUUGAACCGCAUGGUUCAAUAUUGAAAAAGGUUUUUCCUUUCACUUUAAGUUGGUUCCGCCCCGCAUUAGCUAGUUGGUAAGGUAACGGCUUACCAAGGCGACGAUGCGUAGCCGACCUGAGAGGGUGAUCGGCCACACUGGAACUGAGACACGGUCCAGACUCCUACGGGAGGCAGCAGUAGGGAAUCUUCCGCAAUGGGCGAAAGCCUGACGGAGCAACGCCGCGUGAGUGAUGAAGGUCUUCGGAUCGUAAAACUCUGUUAUUAGGGAAGAACAAAUGUGUAAGUAACUAUGCACGUCUUGACGGUACCUAAUCAGAAAGCCACGGCUAACUACGUG
RNAcentral lists this ribosomal RNA (497 nucleotides) under uncultured bacterium. RNAcentral describes it as "partial 16S ribosomal RNA". It matches the Rfam family "Bacterial small subunit ribosomal RNA", at positions 28 to 507 of the family's 1533-position model. The record is from RNAcentral.